This 524-nucleotide ribosomal RNA is filed under the name uncultured bacterium. RNAcentral describes it as "bacterial SSU rRNA". It matches the Rfam family "Bacterial small subunit ribosomal RNA", at positions 778 to 1301 of the family's 1533-position model. The record is from RNAcentral.
AUAGAUACCCGGGUAGUCCUUACCGUAAACUAUGUAUACUUGGUGUAACUGGACUCAACCCCGGUUGUGCCGUAGCUAACGCGUUAAGUAUACCGCCUGAGGAGUACAGUCGCAAGGCUGAAACUCAAAAGAAUUGACGGGGACCCGCACAAGCAGUGGAGCAUGUGGUUUAAUUCGAUGCAACGCGAAGAACCUUACCCAGGCUUGACAUGCAGUAGACAACAUCAGAAAUGAUGUCUUCCUUCGGGACUGCUGCACAGGUGCUGCAUGGCUGUCGUCAGCUCGUGCCGUGAGGUGUUGGGUUAAGUCCCGCAACGAGCGCAACCCUUAUCGUUAGUUGCCAACACGUAAUGGUGGGAACUCUAACGAGACUGCCUGGGUUAACCAGGAGGAAGGUGAGGAUGACGUCAAGUCCGCAUGGCCCUUAUGUCUGGGGCUACACACGUGCUACAAUGGUCGGUACAGAAGGCAGCGAAGCCGCAAGGUGAAGCAAAUCCGCUAAAGCCGAUCCCAGUUCAGAUUGU